This 253-nucleotide ribosomal RNA is filed under the name uncultured bacterium. RNAcentral describes it as "partial 16S ribosomal RNA". It matches the Rfam family "Bacterial small subunit ribosomal RNA", at positions 524 to 776 of the family's 1533-position model. The record is from RNAcentral.
CACAGAGGUCUCAAGCGUUGUUCGGAUUCAUUGGGCGUAAAGGGUGCGUAGGCGGCGCGGUAAGUCGGGUGUGAAAUCUCGGAGCUUAACUCCGAAACUGCAUUCGAUACUGCCGUGCUUGAGGACUGGAGAGGAGACUGGAAUUUACGGUGUAGCGGUGAAAUGCGUAGAUAUCGUAAGGAAGACCAGUGGCGAAGGCGGGUCUCUGGACAGUAACUGACGCUGAGGAGCGAAAGCGUGGGGAGCGAACAGG